This 468-nucleotide ribosomal RNA is filed under the name uncultured bacterium. RNAcentral's name for it is "partial 16S ribosomal RNA". It matches the Rfam family "Bacterial small subunit ribosomal RNA", at positions 28 to 507 of the family's 1533-position model. The record is from RNAcentral.
GACGAACGCUGGCGGCGUGCUUAACACAUGCAAGUCGAACGGAAAGGCCCUGCUUUUGUGGGGUGCUCGAGUGGCGAACGGGUGAGUAACACGUGAGUAACCUGCCCUUGACUUUGGGAUAACUUCAGGAAACUGGGGCUAAUACCGGAUAGGAGCUCCUGCUGCAUGUUGGGGGUUGGAAAGUUUCGGCGGUUGGGGAUGGACUCGCGGCUUAUCAGCUUGUUGGUGGGGUAGUGGCUUACCAAGGCUUUGACGGGUAGCCGGCCUGAGAGGGUGACCGGCGACAAUGGGACUGAGAUACGGCCCAGACUCCUACGGGAGGCAGCAGUGGGGAAUAUUGCACAAUGGGCGGAAGCCUGAUGCAGCAACGCCGCGUGCGGGAUGACGGCCUUCGGGUUGUAAACCGAUUUCGCCUGUGACGAAGCGUGAGUGACGGUAAUGGGUAAAGAAGCACCGGCUAACUACGUG